ACGCACGCUGGCGGCGUGCUUAACCCCUGCCAGUCGCACGGAAAGGCCCUGCUUUUGUGGGGUGCUCGAGUGGCGAACGGGUGAGUAACACGUGAGUAACCUGCCCUUGACUUUGGGAUAACUUCAGGAAACUGGGGCUAAUACCGGAUAGGAGCUCCUGCUGCAUGGUGGGGGUUGGAAAGUUUCGGCGGUUGGGGAUGGACUCGCGGCUUAUCAGCUUGUUGGCGGGGUAGUGGCUUACCAAGGCUUUGACGGGUAGCCGGCCUGAGAGGGUGACCGGCCACAUUGGGACUGAGAUACGGCCCAGACUCCUACGGGAGGCAGCAGUGGGGAAUAUUGCACAAUGGGCGGAAGCCUGAUGCAGCAACGCCGCGUGCGGGAUGACGGCCUUCGGGUUGUAAACCGCUUUCGCCUGUGACGAAGCGUGAGUGACGGUAAUGGGUAAAGAAGCACCGGCUAACUACGUG
RNAcentral lists this ribosomal RNA (467 nucleotides) under uncultured bacterium. RNAcentral describes it as "partial 16S ribosomal RNA". It matches the Rfam family "Bacterial small subunit ribosomal RNA", at positions 29 to 507 of the family's 1533-position model. The record is from RNAcentral.